GACGAACGCUGGCGGCGUGCUUAACACAUGCAAGUCGAACGGAAAGGCCCUGCUUUUGUGGGGUGCUCGAGUGGCGAACGGGUGAGUAACACGUGAGUAACCUGCCCUUGACUUUGGGAUAACUUCAGGAAACUGGGGCUAAUACCGGAUAGGAGCUCCUGCUGCAUGGUGGGGGUUGGAAAGUUUCGGCGGUUGGGGAUGGACUCGCGGCUUAUCAGCUUGUUGGUGGGGUAGUGGCUUACCACGGCUUCGACGGGUAGCCGGCCUGAGAGGGUGACCGGCCACAUUGGGACUGAGAUACGGCCCAGACUCCUACGGGAGGCAGCGGUGGAGAAUAUUGCACAAUGGGCGGAAGCCAGAUGCAGCAACGCCGCGUGCGGGAUGACGGCCUUCGGGUUGUAAACCGCUUUCGCCUGUGACGAAGCGUGAGUGACGGUAAUGGGUAAAGAAGCACCGGCUAACUACGUG
RNAcentral lists this ribosomal RNA (468 nucleotides) under uncultured bacterium. RNAcentral describes it as "partial 16S ribosomal RNA". It matches the Rfam family "Bacterial small subunit ribosomal RNA", at positions 28 to 507 of the family's 1533-position model. The record is from RNAcentral.